RNAcentral lists this transfer RNA (65 nucleotides) under Pycanum ochraceum. RNAcentral describes it as "tRNA-Asn". Lineage: Eukaryota; Metazoa; Arthropoda; Insecta; Hemiptera; Tessaratomidae. The record is from RNAcentral.
UUAAUUGAAGCCAAAUAAGAGGCAUUUCAUUGUUAAUGGAAUAAAUGAUUACAAAUCCAAUUAAA